GGGAGGGGGGGAGGGAGGGGGAGAGGGUUGGGGACGUGGGGUGACCUCGUGGUGGCCACCCAUCCCCACGUCCCUCUUGGUGGCCCUGGGGGAACCCCCAUGUGAAGGUGACCUCGUGGUGGCCACCCAUCCCCACGUCCUUCUUGGUGGCCCUGGGGGAACCACCGUGGGUGGCCCUGUUGGGACCCCAGGGGGAAGGUGACCUCAUGGUGGUGGUGGUCACCCAUCCCCACGUCCCUCUUGUAGCUUGUAGGUCACAGCCGGAACCACUCGAGGUGGUCCUGGUGGAACCCCGAUGUGAAGAUGGUGGUGAUGAGGUGGAUCUGGAGCUUCUCUGCAUCUUCUGGAGCUCCGCGCUGGAGAAGACCAAGGUGUCCUGGCUGCUGAACGGGAAGGAGAUGCCACCUCCCACCCCCACCAGUGAGGUGGAAGGUGGGAGGAGCUCGUUGAAAAUCAAGAGGUCCAGCUGGGACAAAGGGGACCUCUACACCUGCAAGGUGACCACCUCGGGGGGAAGGGACGUGGUGAUGAGGAACACCAGCAAGUGCACGGCCUGUUGGGGGGCCACCACGACCCCCAACCUCUUCACCACUCAACCCUCCUACGCCGACCUCCUGGCCGGCCCGGCCGUGGCCACCUGCCUUCUCCUGGGGUGGCACCUCCGGGGGGCCACCCUCUCCUGGGAGGGGGACACCCUGGGGACCCCGGCACUCACCCCUCACCCCAACGGCACCCAAGGUCUUCUCCUGACCCACCCCGUCUCCCUGGACCAGUGGGUGGACGGCCACACCCUCAGGUGCCUGGCCACCCUCCCCUGUCGCCCCAGACUUGACCAGAACCUCAAACUGGGACCCAACAGUGAGUUAUGGGGGUGUACUGGGACAUACUGGGCCAUACUGGGCUAUACUGGGCCAUACUGGGCUGUCCUGGGCCAUACUGGGCCGUACUGGGCUGUCCUGGGCCAUAUGGGACCAUACGUGGCCAUACUGGGCCUUACUGGGUUGUACUGGGCUACAUGGGNCCAGACUUGACCAGAACCUC
This 1041-nucleotide long non-coding RNA is filed under the name Calidris pygmaea (Spoon-billed sandpiper). RNAcentral's name for it is "lncRNA (ENSCPGG00000006039.1)". Lineage: Eukaryota; Metazoa; Chordata; Aves; Charadriiformes; Scolopacidae. The record is from RNAcentral.